Molecule: ribosomal RNA, 1307 nt
Filed under: uncultured bacterium
Lineage: Bacteria
Description: bacterial SSU rRNA
Rfam family: Bacterial small subunit ribosomal RNA
Source: RNAcentral
AACGUACGCUGGCGGCACGCCUAACACAUGCAAGUCGAACGAAGUAGCAAUACUUAGUGGCAGACGGGUGAGUAACAUGUGGGUAUCUGCCCUUUGGCCUGGAAUAACACGAGGAAACUUGUGCUAAUACCGGAUAAGUCUUUACGGAGAAAGCUUUAUGCACCAUUGGAUGAGCCCGCACUUGAUUAGUUUGUUGGUGGGGUAAUGGCCUACCAAGACUGUGAUCAAUAGCUGAUUUGAGAGGAUGAUCAGCCACAUUGGGACUGAGACACGGCCCAAACUCCUACGGGAGGCAGCAGUGGGGAAUCUUGCACAAUGGAGGAAACUCUGAUGCAGCGAUGCCGCGUGAGUGAAGAAGGCCCUUGGGUUGUAAAGCUCUUUCGUCGGGGAAGAAAAUGACUGUACCCGAAUAAGAAGGUCCGGCUAACUUCGUGCCAGCAGCCGCGGUAAUACGAAGGGACCUAGCGUAGUUCGGAAUUACUGGGCUUAAAGAGUUCGUAGGUGGUUGAAAAAGUUAGUGGUGAAAUCCCAGAGCUUAACUCUGGAACUGCCAUUAAAACUUUUCAGCUAGAGUAUGAUAGAGGAAAGCAGAAUUUCUAGUGUAGAGGUGAAAUUCGUAGAUAUUAGAAAGAAUACCAAUUGCGAAGGCAGCUUUCUGGAUCAUUACUGACACUGAGGAACGAAAGCAUGGGUAGCGAAGAGGAUUAGAUACCCUCGUAGUCCAUGCCGUAAACGAUGUGUGUUAGACGUUGGAAAUUUAUUUUCAGUGUCGCAGCGAAAGCGAUAAACACACCGCCUGGGGAGUACGACCGCAAGGUUAAAACUCAAAUGAAUUGACGGGGACCCGCACAAGUAGUGGAGCAUGUGGUUUAAUUCGAAGAUACGCGCAGAACCUUACCAACACUUGACAUGUUCGUCGCGACUCUAAGAGAUUAGAGUUUUCGGUUCGGCCGGACGAAACACAGGUGCUGCAUGGCUGUCGUCAGCUCGUGUCGUGAGAUGUUGGGUUAAGUCCCGCAACGAGCGCAACCCUCACUUUUAGUUGCCAUCAUUAAGUUGGGCACUCUGAAAGAACUGCCAGUGAUAAGCUGGAGGAAGGUGGGGAUGACGUCAAGUCCUCAUGGCCCUUACGUGUUGGGCUACACACGUGCUACAAUGGUAUCUACAACAGGAAGCAAGACUGCGAGGUCAAGCAAAUCCUUAAAAGAUACCUCAGUUCGGAUUGCACUCUGCAACUCGAGUGCAUGAAGCUGGAAUUACUAGUAAUCGUGGAUCAGCGUGCCACGGUGAAAUGCGUUCCCGGGUCU